AUGGCGUCCGCCGCCACCACCUCCACCCCCUCUAUCUUCUUUUCUAUUCGGCGGUGGCGGCCGCGCCGCGCGCCUCUUCGGCCCGUCGCCCAGACUGCUACAUCGCCGCUACCCAUGGCGUCCCCCGUCCCCCACCUCCACCCGCGUCUCCCAGGUCAGGGUCCACGCCGCGCCGGAGGUGGAACGCCCCCGGCUUCAUCAAGUUCCAGGCUGACACGAUGCACAGCUCACCAAGGGCCUCGCCGCGCUGCUCGUGCUGGCUCGCUGGUGCGCUCGCGAGGGAUGUCGCCAUGGCGCGGUUGGAGUUCAUCGAGAUGCUCGGGACCAUGCACAACACUUGGGGGCCGGCGAUGA
This 354-nucleotide ribosomal RNA is filed under the name Triticum aestivum (bread wheat). RNAcentral describes it as "partial small subunit ribosomal RNA". Lineage: Eukaryota; Viridiplantae; Streptophyta; Magnoliopsida; Poales; Poaceae. The record is from RNAcentral.